UAGGUAGUCAACGAAGAUGUCAACUA
RNAcentral lists this non-coding RNA (26 nucleotides) under Homo sapiens (human). Lineage: Eukaryota; Metazoa; Chordata; Mammalia; Primates; Hominidae. The record is from RNAcentral.